This 253-nucleotide ribosomal RNA is filed under the name uncultured bacterium. RNAcentral's name for it is "partial 16S ribosomal RNA". It matches the Rfam family "Bacterial small subunit ribosomal RNA", at positions 524 to 776 of the family's 1533-position model. The record is from RNAcentral.
UACGUAGGGUGCGAGCGUUGUCCGGAAUUACUGGGCGUAAAGAGCUCGUAGGCGGUUUGUCGCGUCGUCCGUGAAAACUCGGAGCUUAACUCCGAGCUUGCGGGCGAUACGGGCAGACUUGAGUACUACAGGGGAGACUGGAAUUCCUGGUGUAGCGGUGAAAUGCGCAGAUAUCAGGAGGAGCACCGGUGGCGAAGGCGGGUCUCUGGGUAGUAACUGACGCUGAGGAGCGAAAGCAUGGGUAGCGAACAGG